GGAAAUAAAAGAAAGAAGAGACACAGAGAAUGAUCUCUACUCUAUGCUACACACCAUGCUCACAACACAGAUGCCUUGCAAUAACUGCAAAAGAUUUCAGCCUCCCAAGUGCCAUGCCUGACUGGGAAAGCAGAAAUAAUGAGUACUCAGAAACCUUGAUGAGUAUGCAACUCAACAGGAAGAAGGAGCAGCACCUCAUGAGGCUACAUAAUUCCAAGAGAUAUCAAAAAGUAAUCUUCUCUGCUCCCUCGUGAGCUUCACAAGUUAUUUCCUGAGGGAAAGAGAAGAAUUUUAUGAUUUAUCAGCUGCCUUUUUUAAACACUGCACAAGUGAAUUAUUGCAAUCUGCAUGGAGCUCUCAAAAUAACCACUGUGAACCCUAAUCAUCAUUCAAUCACUGAAGAAGAGGACAAGGAAAUAUGACCAGUGUGUAGUGGCAGUUCUUUUCUUGAAGCCAGAAAGGAAAAGAUUCAUAUAAUCAUUAAAUUUUGUCACAAGUCACU
Molecule: long non-coding RNA, 502 nt
Organism: Cavia porcellus (domestic guinea pig)
Lineage: Eukaryota; Metazoa; Chordata; Mammalia; Rodentia; Caviidae
Exons: 3
Source: RefSeq, a predicted model, not a curated record